Molecule: non-coding RNA, 308 nt
Organism: Pelobates cultripes (western spadefoot toad)
Lineage: Eukaryota; Metazoa; Chordata; Amphibia; Anura; Pelobatidae
Source: the annotation of a GenBank genome assembly
AUUAAAUGCUGGACAAGCAGAGAAAACUAGAAGGAUGAAAAAGGGAGAGAUGCAGGACCUGUCAAAGUACUGCUGCAGUAUAAGGUGGAAAGAGAAGCUGAGCAAAGCAGAAUAGCACAGGAGGAUGAGAUGCUGGAUAAAAGUGACAAGUCAUUUCAAAGUAACAUUAAGGACCCACUGUCACAGGCAGUGCUGUAUCCUGUGCACUUGAACUGAUCCUGUUGCAGAGAUGCCGGCUGACAGGUAUUACCGUAUUGGUUACAUUGACACAAGCGAAGCAGAUUACUAUCUUCUACCGGCGAGUACAC